This 468-nucleotide ribosomal RNA is filed under the name uncultured bacterium. RNAcentral describes it as "partial 16S ribosomal RNA". It matches the Rfam family "Bacterial small subunit ribosomal RNA", at positions 28 to 507 of the family's 1533-position model. The record is from RNAcentral.
GACGAACGCUGGCGGCGUGCUUAACACAUGCAAGUCGAACGGAAAGGCCCUGCUUUUGUGGGGUGCUCGAGUGGCGAACGGGUGAGUAACACGUGAGUAACCUGCCCUUGACUUUGGGAUAACUUCAGGAAACUGGGGCUAAUCCCGGAUAGGAGCUCCUGCUGCAUGGUGGGGGUUGGAAAGUUUCGGCGGUUGGGGAUGGACUCGCGGCUUAUCAGCUUGUUGGUGGGGGAGUGGCUUACCAAGGCUUUGACGGGUAGCCGGCCUGAGAGGGUGACCGGCCACAUUGGGACUGAGAUACGGCCCAGACUCCUACGGGAGGCAGCAGUGGGGAAUAUUGCACAAUGGGCGGAAGCCUGAUGCAGCAACGCCGCGUGCGGGAUGACGGCCUUCGGGUUGUAAACCGCUUUCGCCUGUGACGAAGCGUGAGUGACGGUAAUGGGUAAAGAAGCACCGGCUAACUACGUG